This 471-nucleotide ribosomal RNA is filed under the name uncultured bacterium. RNAcentral describes it as "bacterial SSU rRNA". It matches the Rfam family "Bacterial small subunit ribosomal RNA", at positions 73 to 557 of the family's 1533-position model. The record is from RNAcentral.
CUUUAGUUUACUAUAGACGAAAGCUUAGUGGCGGACGGGUGAGUAACGCGUGGAGAAUCUGCCCUCAAGACUGGGAUAACAGAGCGAAAGUUCUGCUAAUACCGGAUAUGCUCUGAGUGUCGCAUGGCACAAAGAGGAAAGCACAAGCGCUUGAGGAUGACUCCGCGUCCCAUUAGCUAGUUGGUGAGGUAAAGGCUUACCAAGGCGACGAUGGGUAGCCGGCCUGAGAGGGUGACCGGCCACACUGGGACUGAGACACGGCCCAGACUCCUACGGGAGGCAGCAGUAGGGAAUUUUCCGCAAUGGGCGCAAGCCUGACGGAGCAACGCCGCGUGAAGGAAGAAGGCCUUCGGGUCGUAAACUUUUGUCUUUGGGGACGAUAAUGACGGUACCCGAGGAGGAAGCCCCGGCUAACUACGUGCCAGCAGCCGCGGCAAUACGUAGGGGGCGAGCGUUGUCCGGAAUUACUGG